CCCGGAUUCAUGGAUGUUAGAUGUUUGUGAAAGAUUUGAAGAUUUAGAAUGAAACAUAAAAAAGGGUUUUGAAUUUUGUUAUGAACAUGACAAUUUCGGUAUUACCAUCAAAGUUUAAAGAGAUUUGGGUGUAAUCGGAUAUUUCUGGGUAACUAAAAUAAGUUUUUUUUGUAGCCUCUUGUUUUGAAUUUCUUUAACAAAGAAACAACACCCAAUAAUCCCAACACCAUGAUAAUUUUCAACCACUUGGUUCAUUAUGUUGAGCUUGCAACUAUAAUUUGAUCAAAAUGAUGAAAUUUUAAUAUAAUAACCAAAUUACAGAUGCAAGUGUUGGUCUAUAUGGCAAGAUAGGAUACACACUAGAGGGGGGUGAAUAACAUUUUACAAAAUUUAUCGAGCUUUUAGCGAAAGCGUGUUUGAAAACAAUUUGACUAAUUGGAUUUGUGCUCGAAACAAUAAUUAUGACAAAGAGAUUAAGACAAAGUAAAGCACAAUAAGAAUUACUAUUGAAUUGAGAGAUUCAAAUGCUAAAUCUUAAUACAAUCAAUGAUCAAUAAUGCUUACACAAUAUACA
Molecule: long non-coding RNA, 574 nt
Filed under: Medicago truncatula (barrel medic)
Lineage: Eukaryota; Viridiplantae; Streptophyta; Magnoliopsida; Fabales; Fabaceae
Description: lncRNA gene23150
Source: RNAcentral